Long non-coding RNA from Sander lucioperca (pikeperch), 898 nucleotides. RefSeq lists it as uncharacterized. The transcript has 2 exons. NCBI's taxonomy places the organism in Eukaryota, Metazoa, Chordata, Actinopteri, Perciformes, Percidae. The record is from RefSeq and is a predicted model, not a curated record.
UCUAAGGGUUGACUAAAAUAAAAGUGAAACUACGCACUAUAGCCUAUUGUUGGUCUACUGGCACACCAGCCAACAGUUUGCUUCUUCUUUCGGUUUAUCCAACGUUUAGCCUACAACACAUUUGUAGAUGGAUUUUCUUUCAGAGCAUCACGUUCUUAUGGAAUAAUAUGAUGGCUGCAUAACUGAAGGACAGCAAUGUAACAAAGUAGUCCUGGUAACCUCCACCUCUACGUCUGCAGCAGAAAAAGGAAGAAGAAAGCGUGACGGCUGUCUGUCUGUAAGGGAACUAUGUCUGAAAGUAAGACGGAGGCAGACUGUGGAAAUUGUGGGAAUAUAUAUUCAGCAACAAAAUAUGAACACACAGUAAACAUUAGAUCUGAAGUCAGUACAUAUAAAGCGUUUCACAUCCAGUUUUUGUCCAGUCUGCAGUUAAUAACAUAAACUCAUAAACUGUCAAUAAAUACAUUAUAUCUUCUUUCAUCCUAAACAUUGCUUGACCAUAGUUAACCUACAAGACUUGAUAGUGAUAGAAGAAAACAUUAACUAAGACAUAAACUGAGCAAACGUGGCAUUUCAUGUACAGUUGUGUGUAAAUGUGUAAUGUAAAGUAGCACAUUGUCAUUGUGACCUCUGCUUGAUUACUUAAUGAUUAAUGUGUUAUUUAGCCAGCCAGUUAGCUACUCGGUCAAAGUAUUUUAAGUACAAACAUCAAAGCAAGAAAUCAAACAAACAUGUUUAGCCAUAGUGUUUUUAUGAAAACUAAAUUUUGCUUUAUGUUAGAAGUUAUGGUUUGAUGAUACAGAUACACUAGAUCACAAAGGCUCUUUAAUUAAAUAACAUGUAUCAUGUGCUGCUAUUAUCCAUAUGUUAAAAUAAAUCAAUACAUUUCUGUAGUAAA